GCACUACGACGCAGGUUCCGAGCCAAGGGCACUAGAUUUCUUACCGGAAGUGCCUGAGUGGGUUGUUGGGUGACGGGGACGCCUGAUGAUUCGACCUUAGGUCGGGACUCGGUUCUCCACUCGACUGCGGGAUCGGGAGGCCACUCGCGUCAGUGUCUGACUUCCUUUACCCUUCGCUAACCUAGAGGCAGCUUCCCCGGCUCCAGCCUUAGCCCUUUGCUGAGCCUGCGCGGCGUUCCGGUCUCUACUGGACAGACCCGCCUUCCCGGCAGCGGGCUAGGCCUGCUCUCCGCGCUGCUGGCCCCUCGGAAAACAUAACUUUUUGUUUACUUCAAACUGAUUUUACAACACGCUGCCCCCCCGCCUCCCCCGCUUCCCCCGCUUCCCCUUCCUCCUCCCGGCAGCAAUAAAAAUGCUCCCAGCCAACGCCGAGCUCCAAGCCCCUCCAGCUGACUGGACAUUCCCAGCCACACUUUCCUUCCCUUCGCUGCGUUAGUUCUGCAUUUUUAUUUUAAAGCAGCUGGUAGAACAGCUGUCUCCCUGUCUAAAAGCAAAAGCUGACUUAUCUGAUGUAGAAAUAAAAUGUCACUCACUUGAUGUAUA
Long non-coding RNA from Homo sapiens (human), 603 nucleotides. The record is from Ensembl. Lineage: Eukaryota; Metazoa; Chordata; Mammalia; Primates; Hominidae.